CUUCAGCCUCACUUCUCCAUGAUCCAAGCUCCUAUGAUUUACUAGUUCCUUCUUGCUCUUUACCAACUCUAGGUAUUCUGGGCAAUUUCUCUUCCAAUGCUCAUCCUUUUGACAGUGGAAACACUUUCCCUUGCCUUUGUCAGCUUCGGUCUUGCCCUUUGUUUGGCUAUCUUCUUUGAAGGUCCAGAAACUUGAGGUUUCUUUUUCUUAUU
RNAcentral lists this unclassified non-coding RNA (212 nucleotides) under Hevea brasiliensis (rubber tree). Lineage: Eukaryota; Viridiplantae; Streptophyta; Magnoliopsida; Malpighiales; Euphorbiaceae. The record is from RNAcentral.